GUUAGGUUGGCAGAAUAAAAGUGCAUUGGAUUUAGGAUUCAAAUAUGAUGUUUAUCUUCACUUAACA
RNAcentral lists this transfer RNA (67 nucleotides) under Haematopinus asini. RNAcentral describes it as "tRNA-Leu". It matches the Rfam family "tRNA". Rfam says of the family: Transfer RNA (tRNA) molecules are approximately 80 nucleotides in length. Their secondary structure includes four short double-helical elements and three loops (D, anti-codon, and T loops). The record is from RNAcentral. Lineage: Eukaryota; Metazoa; Arthropoda; Insecta; Psocodea; Haematopinidae.